This 253-nucleotide ribosomal RNA is filed under the name uncultured bacterium. RNAcentral's name for it is "partial 16S ribosomal RNA". It matches the Rfam family "Bacterial small subunit ribosomal RNA", at positions 524 to 776 of the family's 1533-position model. The record is from RNAcentral.
UACGUAGGCAGCAAGCGUUGUUCGGAAUUACUGGGCGUAAAGAGUGUGUAGGCGGUGUUCUAAGUUUGUCGUGAAAUCUCCCGGCUUAACUGGGAGGGUGCGGCGAAAACUGGAAUGCUAGAGGAUGGGAGAGGUAAGCGGAAUUCCUGGUGUAGCGGUGAAAUGCGUAGAUAUCGUUUGGAACGCCAAUGGUGAAAACAACUUGCUGGGGGUGUGCUGACGCUGAGACACGAAAGCCAGGGGAGCAAACGGG